Molecule: transfer RNA, 71 nt
Filed under: Spirochaetota bacterium
Lineage: Bacteria; Pseudomonadati; Spirochaetota
Description: tRNA-Gly
Rfam family: tRNA
About the family: Transfer RNA (tRNA) molecules are approximately 80 nucleotides in length. Their secondary structure includes four short double-helical elements and three loops (D, anti-codon, and T loops).
Source: RNAcentral
GCGGGUGUAGUUCAAUGGUAGAACCUCAGCCUUCCAAGCUGCUGACGAGGGUUCGAUUCCCUCCACCCGCU